CCAUCUAUUAUAUAAACAAAUUAUUUGUCAAUAGUAGUUCAGUUAUUUUAGCUGUAAAAACUAAAGUGUCAAUACUCAAUAAUAAAAUACUAAUGACUUGCUAGUUAUUUUAGCUGAAUCAAUCAAUGUAGUUGUAAAAUAUUUAUAUUGGUAGUUUGCUCGGUGAAAGAAAGGUUAAAAUGACAAAUUUAAGAUAUCAUCCCAAAAUAAAAUAAAAACUUGCACUAUUUGGAAUACAACGAAUUACAAUAUUACCCUUUCUCAACUAUCGUUUUCCAUCUCAUACAUACACACAUGUACAUACGCACACACUAUAUCUCUCUUUCUUACUUAUUUUAUUUUUCCUGAAUUUUGUUUUAU
This 360-nucleotide long non-coding RNA is filed under the name Brassica napus (rape). RNAcentral's name for it is "long non-coding RNA (BNAP_LNC005025)". Lineage: Eukaryota; Viridiplantae; Streptophyta; Magnoliopsida; Brassicales; Brassicaceae. The record is from RNAcentral.